This 1112-nucleotide ribosomal RNA is filed under the name Discogobio tetrabarbatus. RNAcentral describes it as "partial 16S ribosomal RNA". The stretch from base 182 to 1093 matches the Rfam family "Bacterial large subunit ribosomal RNA", at positions 568 to 2044 of the family's 2925-position model. The record is from RNAcentral. Lineage: Eukaryota; Metazoa; Chordata; Actinopteri; Cypriniformes; Cyprinidae.
CAGCUAGCUUAUUCACCAACAUAACCAAACAAUAUAAAUAAAAUAGAAUAAACCAAAUACCAAAAACUAAACCAUUCUUUUACCUGAGUAUGGGAGACAGAAAAGGUUCAACCAAAGCAAUAGAAAUAGUACCGCAAGGGAAAGCUGAAAGAGAAAUGAAAUAACCCAUAUAAGUAUUAAAAAGCAAAGAUUAAACCUUGUACCUUUUGCAUCAUGAUUUAGCCAGUAAACACAAGCAAAGAGACCUUUAGUUUGAAACCCCGAAACCAGGUGAGCUACCCCGAGACAGCCUAUUAAGGGCCAACCCGUCUCUGUGGCAAAAGAGUGGGAAGAGCUCCGGGUAGAAGUGACAGACCUACCGAACCUGGUGAUAGCUGGUUGCCUAAGAAAUGAAUAGAAGUUCAGCCUCGUACACCUCAAAUCAAACAAGCACUAACCAAGAUAUCAAGAGAAAAAUACGAGAGUUAGUUGAAGGGGGUACAGCCCCUUUAACAAAGGAUACAACCUUAUCCAGGAGGAUAAAGAUCAUAAUAUUUAAAAUAUACUGUUCUAGUGGGCCUAAGAGCAGCCACCUAAACAGAAAGCGUUAAAGCUCAGACAGAAAGAAGUUUAUUAUUCUGAUAAAAAAUCUUACUCCCCUAAAUACUAUUAGGCUAACCCAUGCCCCCAUGGAAGAAAUUAUGCUAAAAUGAGUAACAAGAAGGCUCGCCCUUCUCCCAGCACAAGUGUAAGCCAAACCGGACCAACCAUUGGCAAUUAACGAACUCAACCCAAGAGAGCAAUGUGAACCAUAAAAAAAACAAGGAAAACCCACACUUAACAAUCGUUAUUCCCACACUGGAGUGCUAUUAAAGGAAAGACUAAAAGAAAAGGAAGGAACUCGGCAAACACAAGCCUCGCCUGUUUACCAAAAACAUCGCCUCCUGCAACACAACCAUGUAUAGGAGGUCCAGCCUGCCCAGUGACUACAAGUUCAACGGCCGCGGUAUUUUGACCGUGCAAAGGUAGCGCAAUCACUUGUCUUUUAAAUAGAGACCUGUAUGAAUGGCUAAACGAGGGCUUAACUGUCUCCCCUUUCAAGUCAGUGAAAUUGAUCUGCCCGUGCAGAAGCG